Molecule: ribosomal RNA, 468 nt
Filed under: uncultured bacterium
Lineage: Bacteria
Description: partial 16S ribosomal RNA
Rfam family: Bacterial small subunit ribosomal RNA
Source: RNAcentral
GACGAACGCUGGCGGCGCGCCUAACACAUGCAAGUCGAACGGAGCUGAGAGAAGCUUGCUUUUCUUAGCUUAGUGGCGAACGGGUGAGUAACGCGUGAGUAACCUGCCCUGGAGUGGGGGACAACAGUUGGAAACGACUGCUAAUACCGCAUAAGCCCACGAUCCGGCAUCGGAUUGAGGGAAAAGGAUUUAUUCGCUUCAGGAUGGACUCGCGUCCAAUUAGCUAGUUGGUGAGGUAACGGCCCACCAAGGCGACGAUUGGUAGCCGGACUGAGAGGUUGAACGGCCACAUUGGGACUGAGACACGGCCCAGACUCCUACGGGAGGCAGCAGUGGGGGAUAUUGCACAAUGGGGGAAACCCUGAUGCAGCGACGCCGCGUGGAGGAAGAAGGUUUUCGGAUUGUAAACUCCUGUCGUUAGGGACGAUAAUAACGGUACCUAACAAGAAAGCACCGGCUAACUACGUG